Molecule: transfer RNA, 77 nt
Filed under: bacterium
Lineage: Bacteria
Also listed under: 4 other names
Description: tRNA-Thr
Rfam family: tRNA
About the family: Transfer RNA (tRNA) molecules are approximately 80 nucleotides in length. Their secondary structure includes four short double-helical elements and three loops (D, anti-codon, and T loops).
Source: RNAcentral
GCCGCUUUAGCUCAGUUGGUUAGAGCAACUGUUUUGUAAACAGUAGGUCCACGGUUCGAAUCCGUGAAGCGGCUCCA